UCCUGUUCCAUGUUUAUAUUUUCCUAAUUAUUGUCAUACAACUCAUAAAUUAGCAUGAUAUUCCCUCGUAAGCAUGGAGCAAAUGUUCAUAAAUAUUUGUUUUAUAAUUUGAAAUUUAUAAAAAUAUAUUACUCAUUAAUUUUAUUUUUAUAAAAUAAAUUAUUUGUUUUAGAAUGAUAUGUAAAGUUAGAUUUUUUAUUUUUUCUUGAGAUUUUGCUUUUAGUUGAUUUUGUUGUUGAAUAAAGGAGUUUAUAUAUAUAUAUAUAUAUAUAUAUAUAUAUAUAUAUAUAUAUAUAUAUAUAUAUAUAUAUAUAUAUUAUUUUUUGAGGUAAGUUGGAAUAAGGAGGGUGAUAAGAUCGCUGCCUGUUUAGCCAAUAAUACAGUUUGUGUUUUGGAUUUCUGAAUGUAAGAUCCUGAGAAGCACCACUUUUGAUAAGAUCGGUGGAAGUGUAUUUCCCCUAUUUUGGUUGGAUAGGUUUCCCAUGGUUCUUGGAUCCUGCUGUGAUUUCUUGCUAUGAAUCAUUAGUAAGAGGUAGCUUGCAGGAGUAUAUUCUUGAUUAAAACAAUGUAUAGAUUUAGUUGUACUACAUCGUUAAAAACCAUACUACCGGCAACAUCCUCUGCCAGCUGCUUGGUUGUACCUGGGUAUUCUCUCUAUUAUUGACUACGAAGGUGUCCAAAUAACUUUUUACAUGGUUUAUUUGAGUUUAUCUUGUUACAUAAUUAUUUAAAUUAACAUUUUGAAGUGUUUAGUUAAACAUUAGAAAGGAGCUUAUGACUUUCGUAUUAUCUCUUUUGUUAAUAAAUUUCAUGGUGAAAUUUAUCUAAAAAAGUUUAUAAAGUUAAGUUUUUUUGACAAGUUAUUAUAUGAUAAAAUAUUAUUGAUUAAAUGUUAAGUUGUUUAAUUAUGUACUCCCUAUCUUAUUUUGUAAUGCAGUCAAUGCUAUUCAGCCUUUGGCGAAAAGCAUUGAGUGUAACACUUAACACAUCUUUCAUAUUAGCUGAAAUUAAUUUGGAAAUGAGACUUAGCAAACGGCCGGAGGAUGAGAUUCACAUAAUUCAUAGAAUUUAGACGAAUUUUAUCUAAUAAAAAAUGAUGUGAGUCGUGAGUGUCAAAAUUUCAUAUAAUAUAAGAUGUAAAUUGUGAUGUAAAAUAUAAGUAAAUAACUACUAUUACAUUACGUAGUUUUGAAAGUUAAGAUUGUGAAAUGGUUUAUUUACAUCAUUGAGAUAAUAAUAAUGUCUGAAGUAUUUAAUAUUUACCCCUAUUGUGUUAUAUAUUCAAAAAUAAUGAAAACAUUUUAGUGCGUUUCAUUAGGAGACAAAUCAAAGACGUUUAUUUCUCAGUAAGUAAGAGUGUCUAGAUUUUUUACUAGUCAUGUUUGAGUGCAUCUUAUUAUUGAUCUUAUUUUAGGUAAAAUGAUAUGAGAUUAUUUUCUCUAAAAAAAAUAAUGAAAACGUUCAACAUAAAACUGGAUUAAUUACCACAAAUCUUGUAAUUUAAUCGAUGAUUGUUUCACAGAAAUCUUCCAUAACUUUCGAAACUUAACUCUACCAUUGCUAAUAUCGUUUCAUAUCAUUGAGCAAAAUCCAUAGCAAGCAAGAAAAAAGUGAGCAAGACUAGGUUCAAACAAGUUGUCUCCCACAUUCUUUUGGGCAUGGCUGCUGCAAUGAAGAAAUACCACUUUGUUAUACUCUUAAAGGAUGGGGAAGAUCUUCAAACUACACAAAAAACUUGAAAUGUGACUCACUAUUGAUCCAGGAAUUCCUCCCACAGCAGAUUCUUGGGUAAAUGCAUUGGGCUUCAAUUUUUCCAGGGAAAGAUUUGCAUACAAGACCAGGGGUUAAUUUUGGAAAUGGAUUGUUUACGAUUUGAUUAAACAUGAUUUGCAUGAUCAGCGAAUAGAUAGAUUAACUUAUUUUUAAAUUUCUGAUUUCUGUUUACUCUCAAAUCAGCAGUUAUUACAAUUUGGUUAUGCACGAUCUACGAAUAAAUAGAUCAAUUUGAUUUUUAAACUUGAUAUUUCUCUUAACCCAAAAGUUGUUAAGCCUUGCUGCUAAUAGAGCAUAUAUGCUUGUCAACAUGUCAAGCUAUCGCUGGCCGGGACUUCAGCCGACCUGGUAGACCCGGACCAGGUAAUAAUUUCUCAAAUAGAAGGGUGUGAAGAAGGGGAGUCUCGGAGUGAAUAAAAUAAAAUAAAAAUCUGAGGGGUACUUUAGGAAUUUAGCUUUAUUAUAAAUUUAAAGGAGUGGUAAGCUGAGAUAUGUGGGUUGCAUAAAGAAAGGCCCUCUACUUAAACACAUGGUGUCCAAAAGGGCCUUUGCACAAUCUCUGGGCCAGAGUCCAAUCCAAUGUGGGCUGGGUGCUCUGACAAGUGACAACAACCAUACUAGGUUUAGCUUCUUCGUCACACGCUGCCUAAACCCCUAAUUGGUGGGUUCCAUCUGUGCGCAGAGCAAAACCAAAAACAUGGCGUGGCGCUGCGGAUCUCUCUCUCGGUCGGUGCUCUCGGCCGCGAGAACCAUUCCAACUCGUUCCUCCAUUUCUCCACUCUCGCCUUCCCUUCGCUCUCAUCUUCUCCACUCUCGCCGCCCCCUCAAUACACUCCCUAGGUAAGGUAACUUGUGUUUAUUUAUUCCCUUUCUUACCUAUUUUUCAUAAUCAUUCAUUUUUUUAUUAUCUAAAUCUAUUUUUUUUUCUCUCACAAGGACUGUGGGAAUUCUCGUGUGCACGCAUUCGCUGAUGCCUCUGCACAGCGCUGACGCCUCCGCUCGUCUCACUUCUCACAUUUCCGUCGAAUCGCGCGCUUGCUGCGAAUUGUCUCAGGGUACUCAAAUUCCUAUUUCUUACACUUAAUGUGGCAUUCUUUCUGUCAUUAUUAUGAUGUGUUUUCAUUGUUAUAUUUAUUUAAAUGUUUUUGUGUGUUCAACAGGUACUUGAAUAGACUUUACAAUCAGCAUCAGUUGUGAUUACGUUUGGCAUGAUGUGAAAAUGGUGGCUAAUGCUUUGUAGCAGGAGGCUUGUGGAGGUUUGGUAGUGCAUUUGAGAAAGAUAAAUAUUAUAAGCAGUUGUGAUUAUAAGUGUUUUUAUCUUUUUUAUAAAAGAUAAACAAGUAUAUCUAUUCUUCUUCUGUUAGAAUCUUUUCAGGCUAAUUGAACGUCAUCAACAUUGUUUUUCUUUGUAUCAGAUAAUAAUAGCAGUGUUCAAGACUUAAAGUUAUGUUGAAAUUAAGUGUUGUAUAGGUGUUAGCUGGUAGCAUGGAUGCUCUUUUGUUCAAGUAGUUUAAUUGCACUGGUUUUGUUUUGUUCUUGCAUAAAAUUAGACUGUUUUAUAAUGCUAGUUGAAUCAGUGUUUCUGCUUAAUAUUAUGAGGUUGUCUCCUACUUAAAAAUCCAUUCUACGUUAAUAGUAUAAUAGUGUUAUACCCAACCAUAUAUCUUGGGACCCUAUGCAGCAUGGUUAGUGGAGGUUGCAUCUGUACUGUAACCUCUUGGUUUAUCCAAGCAGGAGUUAAUUCAAUGCAUUUUUAACUACUACAGUUUUGCUUCCUUUUCUGCAAUACCCAGUUCCAAUUAUGAUAUUGAGUUGAUGAUAGGACUAAUCUCAAUUUCUCAAUUUGUGCAUUGAGCGAUUACGUAGUUACUAGUUAAAGACAUAUUUGGGUUGGGUUUCUCUAAAUGAUUACAAUUAGAGACAAUUUCUGAACACCUAGUUUUCGGUAAUUUCGUUGCUUUCUAUAAAUGACUGCAUUGUUAUUAGUUAGAGGCAUUUUUGGUUUAGGUAGCGGUGCUCCCUCAACUUAUUGGUGACACUGUCAAUUUAGUCUUAUCUUUUAUUAAAGUUGAUUGGUGUCAUGAGUGACAUUAAUCGAAUACUAGCGAUAUGGAUAAGGCAUAGGUCACGAGAGAAUAAAAACUCGUGUUAUUUAACUGCAGUCUCUAACAGGUACAACAAAAUUUGAUGUAGCUUCACUUAAGCUUGCCAUAUAUCUUUGAGCACGAGUGUUAGGACCAACCAUGUUUUUGUACUGCUACCUUAGAGAACAGUGCACUAGCAUGUAGCUAGAGCUGUUGAAAAAAUUAUGAAUUGAACCACACUGUAAACUGUACCACAGUCGGAGCCCAAAAUGCCAAACCUAAACAAAGAGCCUUUUUCAGUGCAUCUCCUAUAAAACAGUUCACCAACCUGAACCAGUUCUUUAUAAUUUGGUGCACGUAUUCUACCUGAACCUUUUAAUGCAAACAGAAAACACUGCAGUUCACAAAUUAAAACUCAAAAAACACUGCAGCUCACAAAUUAAAACUCAAAAUCCAUUUCUAUUUGGUGUGUCAUUGCGGUUUGCCGGAGCAGCAGUUGUGUAAAGAAUUGGAAUACAGAAGCCAAGCAUUACUCAUUAGGGGAGAUCAGAGAGUAUAGUCAGGGAUUCCAUGGAUAAGUAAAUUGCCACAACAAAUGUCAUUGUCGACUGUCAGAGUAAUUGAGGUGGUGGAUGAGGUCUUGGUGGUGUUGGCAGAGUGGUUGCCUACUCAUUAGGUGGUUUGAGUUAUGAUUGCACAAGAACAAUUGAGAACCUUGAGAUAGAUGUGCCUCAUCCUUACUGCCUUGAGCACAUCCUCAAAGAAAUCUGUCACCUGCUAUUGUAAUUUGUUGCUAUUCAAAUAGUAGGGUUGGGUUCAAACUCAAAUUCAAUGGUAGUUCACAAUUCAAUAUAGGUUUGUAAAAUUUAGUGCGCCGAAACAAAUAAUCAGUUUUGUUUGGUUUUGCCAAAGUAAAGAGGUUGAAUCGUAUUUUCGGUUCAAUUUAGUAUGGCGCAGACGGCGUGCAGUUUCCAGUGGAGUUAAAUGUAUGAGUAAAAUUUUUGAGGGGCCCAUUCUUUAUUAACAUCUUAUUAACAUAACCAGUCCUAUGUUAGUAAUAAAUAUUGAAUAAAAAGUAGGAUUCACAAAAUUGUUUUUUUUUUUAUAAAUUUUUGUCAGUACUGUAUAUUAAAAAGUCUUUAAAAGUAUGUAUUGACAUUUUUCAAUUUUUAAAGGGAGAGCCACACAAAUAAAAAUCCAAGCCAGUUUUAACUUGAAAAUCAGUGAACUGUGAAGGUGUUUGGUCCAUUUAGCUCCGAAAAAUUGGCUAAUCACAAAAUUGGUGGAUAACCUAUCGAAAACCAGUAUGAACAGUUAUUUUGUUCAAUCAUGUAGGAAUACUAGUUUUUGUAAUGUGGUUUUUCGGUUUUUCCCCCUCAAAUCUUUUGAAAACUAGUUUUGGUAUUGUAAAAAUGCGGGUGUAAAUUUUUACAAUAUGGAAACUAGUCCCUGUAAAUUCCUACAUUUUUUUUCUCAUUCUUUUCUCACCUCUUUUUUCCCCUUUUCUUCGCCUUACCCCACCACCCACUGCUUUCCUCAUUUUGUUUUUCUCUUUCUCCCUCUUCACCAUAUUUCCAAUUCUCUUGCUCGCUCUUCCUCCAUCACUGGAGUGUCCACAUAUGGCCUUGUGCAGCUGUUGUGCUGCCCCCAUUCACUUUAAUUUUUUUCAUUUAUGUGCGACAUAACAAGGUUCGCGGGGAUGGUGAAUCUUCAGAUGAUGGAUGGUACGAUGGUGGAGAGAAGGGUAUUUUAGGUAUUUAAAAAUGUCUAGAAAAUUGGGGGAUGUCAGGGGUAAAAAAAAGGAGGUGUAAAUAGCAAUCCCUUUAGCUCGUCAUCGUUGCUUGCACAUGUAGGCUUACAGUUAGUCCUGAUAACUUGUUAGGUUGGCCGACAGGUUUGAAUCUUUGAAGUUGGAAGUUUGAACAAAUUAUGGAAUAGGAUGUCAUUUUUGUUCUUUUGGAAUCUUUUAAAAAUGUGAUUCGGACAAAAGUUUCUAACAAUAAACUUUUCCCCAAACUGUGAACUUUUCAAAAUGGAAAUCAAUGCCUUGUAAAAAAUAGUUAUUUAAAUUCUUUGUCGUGUUUUUAAUUAAGGAUUUAGAUUUUACUUGACCAAUUCACUAUUUUUUAUGAAAUCAUCUGAACCAUACAAUACAAGGGAAAAAAAUGCAAGUUAAAUACACUAGCAUUAGUAUACAGUCCAAUUUUUCCAAGAGGGAUUUUACGAGGCUCUGAAAUCUCAAGCAAUGUAAUAUAAAAUACGUUUAAUUCAUAAAAUAUCGACAGCAAAAGUUAGAAUUUAGUUACUACUUUGAUGCACAAGUGAUUCCUUGGCAAUGUCUUUGCACUAUAAUGUAAGGAUGUAAUUAAUUAAGUUGAUAAAAAAUAGAAAUAUAAAAAAUUGAAAAAAAAACUAUUUUUAUUCGGCCUCCAUUGGAUUCCAGAUUCCUUAUGCCUUUUUCACAUAAUACAAUCCUGCCUGUUGGACCCGUAGACGGAAUUGUUUUCCUCUCUCUAUCUCUGCUACAGUAUUUUUUUAUGGACCAAUACACUUUUCUCUUUAACUAAUUAGUUUCAGUUGAUUAAGUAAAAUAUAUAAAUUAUUAUAAAUUCAUUCUACAUGUCUUUGAAUUUAGGGACAAAUAAAAAUUUAUUUUCCUACUGUCUAAACACAUCGUGAGUUAUACGAAAAUGUUUUUGUAUUAGAUAACAAUGAUGUUUUGUUUUAUUAUACAAGCCCACAAUACUUGGAUUGGCAUAUGCUGUAAAGAUUUUUAAUUUUUAAUGGCGUCUAAUCAUUGAUUUUUUUUAUAAUUAUUUUUUAAAAUUGUGAUUCCGGAUAAGCUCGUGUCCAAUUCACCUAAGAUUUCGAAAGCGCCCCCUUUAAUUGCAUUGCAUUGUAAAAUAAAGUAUAAAACUUGUACUUAAUUUAAAUGAAAGAGACAAUCGUAUUAAUUAUAUCCCCAUAUAGGACGUGCUUUCUAUAUAUUCAUGGCUUAUAUUCCUUUCAUUGUUUCCGACAAAAAUUGACAAUUGUUGGAGAGAAAAUUAAUGUGGACAAAUUAAAUGCCGCAGUAAAUCUUAGGGGCUAACAAGAAUAUUCAUCCCUAACCUAUAUGUGAAUAUUGAAAUAUAACUUGUCUUUGAAAGCCAAUAAUUUGUGAAGUGAUAAAAUAGAAUAGAGAGAUAUUUGUUGUUGAAAUGUAAUAAUAAAUUUCAGCUCUCUGGCUUUGAUCUCUAUUUAAUUAUGAAAAACUAGAAUUAAUAUUCAACUUUCAGAAAUCAUGACACAAAUAUUAAGCAAUACCUAUAGAUGAGGCAAGUGAAAUCUCACACAGUCACGGGAAUAACCAGCCUAUAAUUCCGGUGUGUGUAUUGUGCUGCAUGUGAAACAUUUAAAGAUAUGAUUGUUUGAAAGUUGAGUGGAAUUAAAUCAAUUUCAAUUAAUUUUAAAUUAAUAAUUAAACGUAAUUCAAAUGUGAAUUUAAAUCAAUUUUAACGAUAAAUUUUAUGCUAAAAACUAUUAAUUAUAAUAUAUAUAUAUAUAUAUAUAUAUAUAUAUAUAUAUAUAUAAAUUAUAGGAGAUGAUGUCAUCUCAUAACUUUAUAUUCAUUUUUAUAAAAAAAUAUUAAAUAAAAUUAUUUUAUUUUGAUUCAAACAAAUAUGAUUAAAAAUUAAAUACAAUCAAUUAACAUUAAUAUACUAGAUUUAUGCUAAUAAAUUUAUUAAUCAAUAGAUUUAUUCUACAUGUAACUUCCCUCUCUCUCUCUCUCUUAUUUUUUUUAGUUUUAUUCACAUUUUAUAAAAAAUUAUCCAUAAAAAAUUUAGUAAAAUUAUAUAAUCAAUAUUUAUUGUAAUUAAAUAUGCAUCUUAAAUGUUAAAUUUUCAUAACUUUUAAAAUUCCUUAUUAUAAUAAAUUAAAAUCUCAAUAGAAUAAUAUCACUAUCAAUUUAAUAUAUAAUAUUUUCUAAUGUUUUUAUUUAUGCUCAAUCAUUUAAUUAAAAAAUUUAGAAAAUAUAUUUUAUCAUUUAGUUAAAAAUACUAUGAAUAAUAAAUAUAUAGUAAAUUGUUUAAUAUUUAGUUAAAAAUAGUAUGCACAACUGCGAACAACAAAGAAAUUCAUAUCCACGUAUAUUUGCAGAUAAAAUUUACAAUAUAUCUUUAGUGGGUACUCCUAAAUAAUGGGUAAAGUCGUGCAUGUAUUUUCACUACCUAUGGAUACGAAGGUGAAAAUCACGAUACUUGUACCUAUGAAUACGUACUACCUAUUAAUAUUAAAAUAUUCUUUUUUUACUAAACUUAAAUACGUAAAUAUUUUUUAUAAAUAUUUUCUUAUUUGUACAGUAUAAUUUUAUUUAGACUUAUAUUUUAGUGUAUUUUUACUUGAAUUUAUAUGUUAGUGUAGACCCUAUAAUAUUUGAAUAAUUUUAGUUGUAACAACUAAAAUUAUUUUUUGAAGAAAAUAUUAAAAUAGAUAAAAAAAUUAUAAUAAAAAUGUUUGUUAAAAUAUUUUUAAAUUAUUUUUUUUGUAUUUUUGCAAAAAUAUCCAUGAAUACCUUCGAAUAUCCCGAAUAUUAAAAAAAAUCCAUAACGGGCACCAUGCAAGUAACGAGAAAACACAUGGUGAAUAUUUAUUUAUUGAGGCGGAUAAAGGAUGACUACUACUUUCGUCUGUCUCACCCAUUUUCAUCUCUAUGCAUAAUUUCAUAUGCAUUUUUUUUUUCAAUAAAACACUUACAAUUUAAAACUAUUUGAAUAUAUAUUAAAUUGGUACCUUCCCAUAGCUAUGUCACACAUAAUGUAUAUAUACAAGGAAGAAUAAUUGUUUCUAUUUGUACUCAGCUUUUUGUUUAGUUCGGGCACCUCUUGUGCUUUGAACUACAUUUCAACUGUCUUUUUUUUAAAAAAGAAGAAGAAGAAGAAUCAUUGUUUAAAAAACAUUUUUUCCUCGUUUAUUACAUAUAUUAAAGUUUAACUUAGGCUAGCAGAUCGACUCUCCUUUACCACGUCCACGACCCAAUACAAUGUAUAUAUACUACAUUUUGAUUCAACACACCAAAGUUGUGAAAAGCCAAUUCUUAGUACUAACAGACAAAAAUUACUGAUGCAAUAAUCCCUGUAUCUUUUCUGUCACUAUUCUUAAUGAUAAAGUUAAUAAUGCCCCCAUCAUCAUCACGCGUGACAUUUGUCCUUGACUCUGUUUUCGCCAAGUUGUUUACUUCACUAAUUCAAAACCCUAGUCUUUUAACCUAGACGCGAGGUUUCGAAGAUUGACAGAUUUGGCAAAACAUACAUUAGUUGUCACGGACAUAAAGAUGGGUUGUUGGUUCUCACUCUCACUACUUUAACGCCGGAACACCCCCCACUAUCAUAUUUACCAUGUACUGUUUUACGCGGAAUCCAUCAACUUGGCCCAUUACAUGCCCAAAGGCACAAUUUUAGAAGAAAAUAUAUGAAUGAUAUUAUAUCACAUAUUUAUUUUGCCUUCUCAUCAUGUAAAAGUCCUUUACUAAUGAAUGGUUUAAACCUUAAACAACUAGGUCAAAUUUUCUAUAUUGCACAUUUAAUAGUGAUUCAUAUAUUUUUGAACUUAUUUACGUUGUUUCUUUGUUUCUAAACUUAUUUAAUUAUACGCUUUCAUUUGUUCAUCAAUCUCAAUGCAUGUGAGGCUUCUGCUUUUUGGUAAUGGCAAGUGCUGACCUUCCACGCACUUGCUUUGCUAUAUACGCUGAAGCCAUUAUGCAGCAAGAGCUAAAUAUUGUGCCAUUUUUAUUAAUUACAUAUUUGCAUGAGAAAGUCACAUCAUUGAAUAUUUGUGUGUGUGCGCGCGUGUGUAGCCACAUCAGAUUCGCUUCCAAAAUUUCAAGACUGAACUAGAAACGUGUGUGGAACAACGGUGAAUGAAUGUGUGUGAGUGAAGUUUGAAUGGUCUAGCGUAACAACUCAUCAUUUGUCAAAGAGAGACACAAUGAUGGUUAUGGAAAUGGUCGUGUGGAAGAACUGGUCCAAUUAAUAUAUUUUAUGACAGAAGUUUAUUCAAACUAGGUUUCUUGACGGCACCACACUCUGUACUCUGUAGUACUACGUAAUUAAUGUUUCACGUAAGAAAUCCAGUCAACAAUAUUCUAGAGCCAGUUGGGUUUGACCAUUUUUUUUUAUAUAUUUAAGAAACUAUGUUUCUUUUGUUGCUCAAAGGGAAGUUAAGUCCGGUUAAUGUUAUGUAAUUGUACGACAAGAGGUUUCCCAGGGUGGAAACUUGGUAGGAUUAACUAAUUAAUUAUUUAUUAAUUCUUAGUUGUUUAUAGCUGAUUUUUUUGAAGCAUGGGGUGGUUGCUGCACCUUGCACGGUUGCAACUCAAAUUAUUUGCUGCCCUCAAAAUAUCUCCGAUUGCGACUGCGGACCAUGACAUGUGGUUAUGCUAAUGAGAAUGAUCACUUUAUGUUCAGUGUUAUACUAAGAAGAGACUUUCCAAAUCAACGUUAAUUAGAAAUUGCAGCAGAAAAGGGAUUCAAAAUUGGCGCAUGCAUGGUAUCUUAUCCUGCCCAUACCUUUCCUCUUUAUUUCACUUAGAUCGUAAUGUUAUUGUUAUACACUUCGAAAUCUUUCCGCGAAGUUUCCCACAGACUAGGUGGAAGUGAGUAAAUUAUUGGUUCAAAGCUUCUGUCGGUGGCUUACUGAGAGUAAUAAGGGGUAGGAUAAGAUGUUGGUGAAGGAAGAGUAACCGGUAUUUCCCAUUCUGAGUGCAAGCAUUCAAACAUGUACGAAUUGCAAAGUUGUUGUGCGGUCAUGACCAAGAAAUUUUCUUUCUAUUAAUGCCUAAUCAUUAUGACAUGCGUGCACUUGGAGAUUAUUUUGAUCAGAAAAUGUAGGGCAUUGUUCACUCAUAAAAACAUGAGAAAUAAAUAAUAAUGUUUGGAAUAAAUGUACUGAUAAUAUCCUUAAAAACUUGAACAUCAUAUAGUUUGAAAAGGCCCAUGAUCUAUUCCAAAAAGGCAAAUUAAAAAGCCAAAGAAAGGUACAAUAUUUCAUUCUAAUUAGCUAGGACAGUACUUUUUUAAUUUUAAUAAGUGAUUCUCUGGUUUGAUUUUUUUUUUACAAACAUUUUUUUUAAAAAAAUUGUUAGUUUUAACUUAUGAAAAAGUAUUAAAAUAGUUUUUUUAAUUUUUUUAACAAAUGUUUUCCUAAUUAUAUUUUAAAUAUUAUUUUUAAUUAAAAUGUACUUUUCUACAAAAAGAAUAACUCAAACAAACGGCUCUUAAUCUCCAGGAACUUAGCAUAGAAUGUUGGUAAUCUUGUCAUGGUGGCGAGUGGCGACCCUGUUUGUGCAGAGUGCAGAGGCAGCUAGCUUUUAAUUAGUUUUAACAAUAAAAAUGGGAUAUUGCAUUGCUUCGUGUAAUGCCGCAGUGCCAGUACGAGAAUACACGGCGUAGCUGUCUUCACAGCAGUGUCCACUGUAUGUCUUUGGAAGUUUAGCUUGCUAGAAAACCAUCUCAGUAAAUAUAACUAACAAGCAUGAGUUUAUUAUAAUACAGUGAUAAAUAGUUAUUAUAUUAUCAUGAGCCAGUUUAUUACAACUAAAAAAGUGAGUAUGGUGUAAAAUAAUCUAGUUAUUAUUUUAAAGACUUUUAAAAAAAAAAAUAAGCAUAAGGUACUUUAUGUUUAUUUUACAGUCGUUAAAAUCACCUUUAGAAAAACAACUGACUUUUUUGAAGAGUUAUUCAAAAUAAAUUUUAAUUUUAAUCAUAUUUUAGAUUCUUUUAGUUUUAAAUUGUUUGAAAAGAUUAAAAAAAAUCAGAGAAAAGUAAAAAAGAAAUUUUGUUUUUAAUAAGUGAUUAUUUUAAAAAAGAUUAUAACAAACAGUUCAUAUACAUAUGUGUGUGUGAAAUGAUAUAAUUUUAGUCUUAUUUUGGCUCUAAAUUCGUGUCUUUGAGCUAACAAUAUGAAUAUAGUCAUUUGCGAAUUUUUGAAUCGAAUUAUAUUUGAGCUAAAAAAUAAAUUCAUGUGAAGAUCAAGUCAAGUAUCAAGCUAGCGGAAUCAGUUAUUACUAUUAAGUUAGGUCGAGCUAAGCUAGGUUAGACUGGGUUCGUUUUCAACUCUAAUUACAUAUGAUAUAAUGACUCCACCCUUAACAUAAAAAGUAAGUAUUAUCAUUUCACUUUUGUAAACUCCGAUACAUUAUUGGCUGGUUGUAAAAUUUCAAAAUAAGAUAGCUAGCAAUGAUUUUUAGUAGAAGUGUAAUAGUUCGAAUUAUUUUUUAAAGCUAACGAAAUAAAUUAAAAUUUAAAAAUGUAUUUAAUUACUCAAAUGAGUCAACAUCGCAUUUUAUAGGUUAGAAAAUAAUAAAUUGUGAAUAUUUUGUAUGUGUAUUGCCUAAGUAUCUAUAAGUGUUUGUUUGAUUCACUGAAUUUAGCAUAUAAUUAGGAAUUGAAAUUUACAAAUAUUGCACGCAUUUAACAAUGAUACACUUUAGAAAAAAAACUACAGUAAUUUUUAUCAUUAAAGAUACUUAGGCAUUUUUACUUCAUUUUCUAACAUGAAAGUGCAUGCUAAAUAUUACAUUAACAAACAAACUUUUUUUUUAAAAUGAUAAAAAAAGUAAUUAUUUAUAACUCAAUUAUGAGAUGAGUUAUAUAUUUUAUUAAGAUAAGUUCAAACAAAAUUUUUAAAUACAAGUUCAAACAAAGGUUAGGUGAAUGGUUUGGAUUAUUUCCCUUUUCCAAUAUCAUGACUUAUGAUGACGUUGUUCUCUUCGCCAUCUUUGAGGAAUCAUUAAUUAAUUAUCAUAGUAUUAUAUAUUAUAUAUUACUUAUAAGGUAUAAUGACGAUCGAUGGAUUAUAAAAUGAAGGCAAUCUAAAUAUUGUUUACGUCGUUAUCGAAAGAAUCCUAAGAAACUUUUGUGAAACCAUACUAACACCUAGAGUCUAAAUAAACCUCAAUGGAGUCCAAAACUUUAAGUUUAAUUUUAAUCUACAAAUAAAAAAAUUGUUCAAACCUUGUGUAUUAACCACAUACACCUCUAAAAACAACCAUAUACACAAAGUCCCUUUGGGGCCACUUGAAACAAUAAAAAAAAUAUUUUAAAAAAAUAUGAAAUUAGGAAUGUUUGGUUUAUUAUUUAAAAAUAACAUUUUCAAGAAAUAAUAUUUUUUUAAAAUGUUUUUAUAUUUGAUUCUUACGGAAUGGUUCUCGUGGAGGGCAUAAAAAUAUAAUUUUUUCGAGUUAGAAAAAAGGUUUAUUACAAUAAAAAUGUGGUGUUCACUCUUAUUAAAUUAUUUAUUAUGAUAAAUUAUUAAUUUUUUGGGAAAUUCCAAUUAAAUUAAAGGUAAAAAAUUUCGAUUUAAUUUUCAAUAAUAUAUAAAUAUUUUUAAAAACAGUUAUGAUCAAUGAAAUUGAUUUUAGUAAUUAAUAAGAAUUAUAUUCAUAUGAUUGAUAAUUUUCAAGGACAUAAAAAAUUUCCAUACUACUUAAUGGACCCUAAAAGUAAAUUAGUAAAAUAAAAAAUAGCAUGAACAUGUUUAAUUUUUUAAACAAGAAUGUAAGUAUAAGUAACACAAAUCUUUAGAGAAAUUAAUGUAAUUAUCCCUUGCCAAUAGUUUCCAUUAUUUUGGAUUUUUGGUGUAUUUGUGAUGAUCUCUUCAUCUAUCAUACAGAUCAUUUGACUUUUUAAUAAAUAUAUUUUGAUGUCAACUGAAUUUUGUUGAAGUGACAAUAUUUAAUCAUAGUCAAAGUAUGAACCAUGCGGUCUUUCAUUAGAACUUUAUGGUAUCAUAAAUGAAAAUAUUCCUCCAUAUCUAGCAUAUACUUUUCCAGAUAAAAAAAUUACUUCCCAACUUAAUCUUUCAACACAAUCCAAAUUUGUGUCCUUCAUAAAAUAAAAAGAAACUUAAUCGUUUAAUUUUGCUGCAUAAAUAAAAAUAGUAUAAUUUUAUCAUAAUAAUUUAGACACUAAUAUGAUUUUAAGUAAAUUGUUUAUCCAUGUGAAUUAAGUGAGAGAUUCCCUACUUUCUUUUAUAUAUAGUUUAAAGUUAUAUAUCAUGUUGGAUAAACUACAUCUUUGGUUGCUUCAUGCAAACUUCGGGUGAUCAAAUUAAUUAUAUAUAUAGUUCAUGUAUGAUAACACAAUUAUAUGAUAUUUGUUUUCGUGAUUUCAUAAUGGUGGAUUCCUAACGAGGAGAAAAAUUAUGUCUGCUUCAUGCAAAUUUUAGGUGACCAAAUUAAUUACAUAAUUCAUGUAUGAUAUAUAACACAAUUGGGUGGUAUUUGUCCCCGUGAUUGAUCGUAAUGAUGGAUUCUUAAUGGGAGCAAAAAUCAUGAUUCCUACGUGUAAAUUUCAGGUGACCAAAUUAAUUACACAAUUUGAUGAUAUUUACUAUUCUUAAUGGGGACAAAAAUGGUUUAUUACUGCUCUUAAUUAUAAGUUUUGGGUUGUCUCUUACUGAAGCAAAUGGGCUACAAGAGGGUUUAAGGCCGGCGGCCCCAUCGCUUUCGGAGGCCAACAAACCCUGCAAGGAAAUGGCCGCGUGGUUUGGCUGACGCGUAGGCUCGUCCAAUUUUAUGCUGACGUGGCGAUAAAUUGGGCCCCAGCUGUCGGCCAUGAGGCCCUAUCCUUACGUGUUCCCUGGCCCACAUGUCCUCCCAGCCAAGUCUACAACAGAAGUUGUUUUAAUCUUUUGUCCCCUCAGGGUCCUUCUAAAACAAAACUACUAUUUGCUCCUCCUUGUCAACGUGGCUACCCAUGACAUGCACAAACCCUUUUGCCGCUAUAAAUAGUACCCAGGGCCCCUCCCUCUCUCAUUUCCCUUCAUUCUCUCUAUCUUAAUUCUUCCCUCUCUUAUCAUGGCUCUUCAGUUCAUCGAGCAAGUUACCAAAAACACUGACUCCGUCCAGGAGAGAGUCCUUUCCGAGAUUCUCACCCAAAACGCCGAGACAGAAUACCUCAAACGCUUCGCUCUCAACGGUGCCACCGACCGUGACACUUUCAAGUCCAAGGUUCCCGUCGUCACUUACGAGGAUCUGCAACCUGAUAUUGAGCGCAUUGCAAAUGGUGACCGCUCUCCCAUCUUGUGCGCUCACCCAAUCUCCGAGUUUCUCACCAGGUACGAUUUCUUAAUAUUUCAGGCGUAUAGUAUGAAUGAAUGUCCUUUGUAUUUUACUGAUCGUGCUUGAAUGAAUGAAUUAAAAUUACAGUUCUGGAACAUCUGCUGGCGAGAGAAAGUUGAUGCCAACAAUUCAUGAAGAGAUGGACCGUCGUCAGUUACUGUACAGCCUGCUCAUGCCUGUGAUGAACCAGUAUGUUAGCUUCUUCUUCUUUUUUUCUUUCAUUAACUGAUACUAAGUGACGUAUUAGUUGAUGGCAAUUAUGGUGGUAGUAACUUUGAAGUUAUGAAUUUUGUUUGUUUCCUCCUCCGAUUGCGCAGAUACGUGUCCGAUUUGGACAAAGGCAAGGCGCUUCACUUCCUGUUCAUUAAGGCAGAGGCCAAGACACCCGGCGGGUUAAUGGCGCGUCCGGUGCUGACGAGCUACUACAAGAGCGAGCAAUUCAGGAAAAGACCAUUCGACCCUUACAACGUCCUCACAAGCCCCAACGAAGCCAUCCUUUGCCCUGAUUCCUUCCAGAGCAUGUAUACUCAGAUGCUCUGUGGCCUCAUCAUGCGCCACGAGGUUCUCCGCGUCGGAGCCGUUUUCGCCUCUGGCCUUCUCCGAGCCAUAAGGUUCCUUCAGCUCAAUUGGGAACAACUUUCCCAUGAUAUCCUCACCGGAACCCUAAACCCCAAGAUCACUGAACCUUCCAUCAAGGAACGCAUGUCCAAGAUCUUGAAACCUGACCCCGAACUCGCCGCUUUCAUUAAAAGCGAAUGCUCCGGAGAAAACUGGGAGCGUAUAAUCGUGAGGAUUUGGCCCAACACAAAGUACCUUGACGUUAUCGUCACGGGUGCCAUGGCUCAAUAUAUUCCCACACUCGAUUACUACAGCGGUGGCCUACCUAAGCCUUGUACCAUGUACGCUUCUUCUGAGUGUUUUUUCGGCCUCAACCUCAAACCCAUGUCCGAACCCUCUGACGUGUCUUACACCAUUUUACCCAACAUGGGUUACUUCGAGUUUUUACCGCAUGAUGAUUCCUCUCCUAUUACUCUCUCCAAGGACUCACCUCCUCGCUUGGUGGAACUCGCUGACGUGGAACUUGGUAAAUACUAUGAACUCAUUAUCACCACCUAUGCAGGUCUUUGCCGUUACAGGGUCGGUGACAUACUCCAAGUAACCGGUUUCCACAACUCAGACCCGCAAUUCCGUUUCGUGAGGCGCAAGAACGUUUUGUUGAGCAUUGACUCGGACAAAACCGACGAAUCCGAACUGCAAAAGGCCGUUGAGAAUGCCUCGGAGUUGCUGAAGGAGUUCAAUACCAGCGUGGCGGAGUACACAAGCUUCGCUGACACGAAAUCCAUUCCUGGGCAUUACGUGAUUUACUGGGAGCUCAUGAUGAAGGACUCGUCUCACCCUCCAACGAACCAAGUUCUGAACCAGUGCUGCUUGGUGAUGGAAGAGUCGCUGAACUCCGUCUAUAGACAAGGGAGAGUUGCCGAUAACUCUAUUGGGCCGUUGGAGAUACGAGUGGUGAAGAAUGGAACGUUUGAGGAGUUGAUGGACUACGCUAUCUCGCGUGGUGCGUCGAUAAACCAGUACAAAGUGCCAAGGUGCGUGAGCUUCACGCCCAUAAUGGAGCUACUUGACUCUAGGGUGCUUUCUUUUCAUUUUAGCCCAGCUGCACCGCACUGGACCCCAGAACGACGUCGUUGAAGGAAGGGUAGCAACGUACAGCAACAACAUUCAGUAGUCAUGCAUAAGAAUAUCUAGUAGUAGUAUAAUAAAGAGAAAAAAAAAACGGGUUGUUCAUUAUUGUUGUUAUUAUCCCUGCCGAACCCGAAAGUGUCUGUAUUUGUUGAUUUGAUAUUUCUAACGUGCUUGUUUUUUCUCUUCUUUCCUUCUAUUCUUUAUUAUGUCUUUUUUUUUCUCUUCCCUUUUGGCCGUUCUUUUGUUAAACAGUCAUGCCCUUUUAACUUUUUUUUGUCUGUGAAAUAUAAGUUCAAUUUCAAAUGGGUGCGCUAGAUACGUAAGUAAUUGUCAUGUUUAAAUGCUUGUUUAGCCCAAGUAUGGAAACCAUGUUUACACACCCUGUAUUUUGGCGAUUUGAAAAGACGUCGAAAGCUCAGAUGAUGGAAAACGUUCAUGUUUAGUGGCUGGAUUUGGUAUGAAUUGAACUUGUGAUGUGAUCAAUUCCAAAUUUGAAGUUAUCUCUUUCAAUAGGCACUAUGCGGGUGUACUUUUGUGCACGUGCUACAUAUUCUGUCUGUUGCACUAGGUUGGUGUUGGUUUAUAAUUCGCAGGAAAGUGAAUUGUGAAAUGUGUCGAGUGCGAACCCGUAGUUUUGGCUUUAAGCUUUUAAUAAAUAAAUUUUUUUGUUUGAGGCAUUAUGUUCUUGGAAGCAUCUCACAAGACCUUUAUACCGCACUGAUGCGGGCGGUUUAGUGCGUGGCUGCGUGAUGGAGCUUAUUACUGUCACAAUUGACAGCCUUAAUUUCGAUGAAUUUUUAAUUACUUUAGAUUAAAUUUGGUAUCCUUUCUAACUAACAUCUUUGACUCUCUUUAUCCCAUCUGAUUUAAGGAGAGAAGGAAAGAAGAAAAGGUUCAAACACACUCUUUCUGCGUUUCUACAGAAUUUGAAAGUGUGGCCAACUGGAAUUGGAAUAUGCUUUGAAAAUGAAAACAAGAAUGUCAAAUUCCUUAUAAAGUGGUUUUUACAUUUUAGCUAGUUAGUUAACAUAUUUGACCGUCUUUAGCAUAUUUAACUAAUUAAUAGUAAUAUGCAACACGAGUUGUAUUGCUAUGCACAUUGCUACAAAAGUGGCAGUUAUGAUUCAAUAUUGUACUUGAAUGCCCUUUAAAGAAACCAAAAGAAAAGGGAACAAAAGAAUACUUAUAUUUAAAUAUUAAAAUCAUGAGUGAAGAUUAAAUUAUUUGGAGAGUAACUCUCUUUAACACUAUUUUGUUUGAUAACUUUACAGAGAGAGAUUAUUUCCUUAAAAAAGAGAGAGAGACAUUAUUUUAAAAAUAACUUAUAACAAGAAUUAUUCUUAAAAAAGAGGGAGAGACAUGUAGCGGUUUGAACACUGGCUGAAGAGAAAUAGUACUAUAUAUAUUCCAACAAGCUUAAUAUGACUUCCUUGAUGAAUUCCGUUAAAUCUCUCUUAUGGUAUGUUUCAGAAAGCAAAAUCAAUAAAUUUGAGUGUAUUAUUGUCAAAUUGGUAAAUAAGAUUGCCAUAACUAGGUGACUUUGAGUUGGGGGAGUACAUAUAUAACAUCAGCAUUACGCAUUGUCAUAUUUUCAUUGUUAUACUGGGGCAGGAUUUUAUCACAUUUGUAUUUUUUUAAUUUACCAAUUUGAGAUGCUGAGUUGAGUAUUAAUAAAAAUAAAUAUAUAGGCAAACAUGAAAAAUAUAUGGUUGCCUCAUUAUAUAUGUCAAGUUUAAUUUGGAUCGGACGAGUUGCAUGACUUUGUGACUAUAAUUUAUCGUUUAAAAUAUAGGAAUCUUAAACAUUUAUUCAAUUUUGAAAUCUUUUAUGUAAUUUUUUUCAUUAAUUAUUUCCUUCCAAACAUAUAUAUUAGGCUCGAAAUCGAUAAAUAUUUGAAGUGAUAUAUGCAUGCAGUAAAAAUGUUAAAAUGUCAGGUUAGUAAAAUAAAAUUGGAAUAAAAAAAUAGUGAAAAUUAGAAUUUAAUUUGCAUUGUAUACUAUGGGUUCAGAUGCUUCUGUGUAUAACCUUUAGCUUUAAACGGGAAGGCUUCACACAAGUCAUGUUUAAUUGAAUAACGGCGAAUGAAAUACACUGUAGUAAAAACGAGAUCAUGAUGACUACCAUGAUAAUAAUAGUAGUUUUAUUAUCCUCGAAACUCUGUCUCUCCCUGUGACUGUAGUUUUAUUUUUCUUACAACUUUUUUAUAAUUAAAAGAUACAUAAAAUUAAAAAGAAAAAUUAAAUUAAAAUAAAUGAUAUGAUAAAAAGAAAUUAAACAGCAAGUUAUAAAAUAACAAUCUAUUAAACAUGAAUACAAAUAAUGCAACUCUUUUUAAACUAUCUUGUCACACCCUCCCCCCUCCCCCAAAUGAGGGGAAAAAUAGGUUGUCUGAAAGUGAGGCAAAAACAUCUCACAAAAUGCUAGCUUUUUUAAGUUAAUUGAAUAGAACAGCAGGCAACCCUAAAUGCAGUUGUUGGUGGUCGGAAUAAGGUUUUAAAGUGGUAGGAAGCUGUUAAAGUAAAAUCUUUGAAUGUCUUCCUGUCUGGUGAUGCUCAUCAGUAAUCUCUGGCCGUUUUCAAUCAUAGGUUUGAAUCUAAAACCAGCAAAGUUCUCACAAUAAUAAAAUAAAAAACAUAAAGUAAAUAAAAGUAUAGCAUAAAGUUGAUUGAAGUUAAUAGUUAUGAGAAAGAGUUUAAUUUUGAUUUAUUAUAAAGAAGCUACUGAUCAAUAAAUACAUUUAGGACAUUAGGAAGCUGGAAAAUGAAAAAUUAUGAUAGUGAAUUGAGUUUCCUGGAGUAUAUUCUACUCCAAUAUUGUAUGCCAGUGUCCUAUCUGAUGGAUAUUAAACAACCAUAUCAAUAAACUUUAGGGAUAACAUAACAUGCAUCAUAAUGGUAGUGAAAUUCUUUUUUUUCGGCAGCAGGGUAGUUUGCAUGCUUUGGAGUAAUUAGGAGCCCAGAAAGCUCGUGCAGGGCUUGAAUAAUAGAGAUGUCAACUGGGUUGGGCUAAAGCAAUUAGAUUGUUAGAUUCAUUAAAUUUCAGCUCAGGCUUUGUACAAAGACAAAAAUGGACCACGUGCAUUAUUGUCCUUUACUGGAACUUUUAUCCACCUCUCUGUGUUCUUUGCUUUGUUUGUCCACUGCUUUGCCUCAGACAGCGUCACCUCUUACCUCUUUUCCUUUAAGGGCUUGUCUCUUCUUUACAUUUAUGCAAACAGGGCUCUGUAUCUCUCUCUCGAUCUAGAAGCAUAGAAAGAAUUAUGGAGGGCUUUAUUAUUCGAUUCUGUCACUUUUGUAAUGUUGUAAUGCCGAAAUGGUUGGACCACGUUACACAUGAUGCAAGUUUCUGGUAACCCUUAAUUUUAUGCUUGUGCUUUGGACUAUUGCAAUAGUUCAUUCGUUUGUGUAUAAUGACUUUGGUUAGUGGAUAUAUCAUAUAUAUUUUCAUUCUUUCCUCCGCCUGAUGAUAUAUAUUUUUCAUUUUUUACGAGGAAAUUGCAUUUCCUUCUUACAAUACUUAAACUACACUCAUGCUUUUUCUUAUUUGAAUAUAUAUACUCCUUUUUGUUUUUUCUAAGGAGAUCAAUAUGGGUUACAUGAGUUUAAUUUAAUGCAAAUGAAUAUUAUAGAGACUUUUUCUUGAAUACUAAUUUUCAGUAUGAUUAAAAGCUAGUUUUUUUAGCAUUUAUUUUUUAUUUUUUUAAUCUUGGAAUAUAAAAUAAUUAAAGAUUUUAGAUGAAAUUUCAAAGUCAAUAAUAAAAUAUUUUAAAUUUAUUUUGUUUUCUAAAAUAGAAUAAUGGAUAAUAACAUACUCAAAAUUAGUUAUUGGACUAAGAUUAUAGGAAAAAAAAUGUUAUUAAGAGACAUUCACUGUUACUAGUAUUACUUAUUCAAAUUUACACUAUUUAUAUAAAGUCCAUCACAUUUUUUUUAUUAAACUCUCUAAUUAAAUUGAUAACAUGUAAAUAUUUAUCUUAAAUUUUCAUAAAAAAUAUUAUGUGUCUUCAUUUGAAUGAAAAAAAAAUUUAAAAAUACAAGAAAUUUAUUUAAAUUUUGUAAAACAGACAUUCAACAGUUUGCAAUUUUGCAUAAUUUGGAAUAAGAGGGACGGGAGAAGGUAUUAGUUAAUAAUAUCGGCCCGUGUUAUACUCUUGUUGGGCCUGACUCAUGAAAUAUUACUUCCGGCACUGUAGUGCAAAAAAGUUGGGUAUUAGUAUUGGUCCUACUAAAAUUAUUUCUGGCCCCUACUUAGAGGAGAAAAGUCUAUUCUACCCCAUUUCAAAUUGUGAACCCCUCCCUCAACCCCUAUGUGACACCCCUCUUCUCCUUUCUCCUUCUUCCUUCUUGAGUUCCUUCUUAUCCUUCCCUUCUCCUCACCAACCCCAACGAAUCAUUCCCUUAUGCUUCCCCAACCUACUCCUCAACCCUUCCCUUCUCACUUCUUCGUGCAACCCAUCCCUUCCCUAACCUUCUGUUAAUUUUUUUUUUGGGUUAUGGUUGACAAUAGAAUCAUAAUUUUGUUGAUUUUUUUUUUGUUUCAAAAAGAAAACGAAAUCAUAAUUCCACUAUAGAUUUUUCUACAACAGAAUCGCAAUUCAAAUACUAUUUUUUUGAGGGUUUGAAAUACACAAAACGGAAUCAUGAUUUUGUUGUUGAUUUUGCUAGUACACACAAUGGAAUCACGAUUCUGUUGUACGUUUUGUAUAACAAAAUCUUGAUUUCAUGGGGAGGGUGUUUUUGGAAUAAAAAAAGUCUCAGCCCCUUGAGCCAAGAGCAAUUAUCAUGGAGCCAAUAGUAACUCCCAAUAAGUUACAUACAUGCUUCGGGACUUGGAUUUGAAUACCACACCUCCCAAAUUUUGAAAAAUUUCAAAUUAUCCUUUUCAUAUUAUACCAUUUUGGAAUAGAUAUUUCGUAACAUUAAAAAUUAGUUUCUAAAAUAGGUGUUCCAUACCAACAAAAAAAAUAACUUUGUCUUUUGGAAUAUAUAUUUCAUAACAGUAAAAAAAUAUCUUACGGAAAAAGUGUUUCAUAAAAGUAAAAAAAAGUUUUACUUUCAAAAAAUGAUAUUUUAUAACAAUAAAAAAUAAUUUUUAGAAUAGAUGUUUCAUAACAUUAAAAUGAUAGUUUAUAUUUUCAAACAAAAAUAGAAAAUGCAAAAUACACAUACGGGAGUCAUCCCCGGGACAUUGGAUAGGUUAUGCAAAUACGGAAUAUGCACUGUAUGGACUUAUAUCCGAUUCAAACGGCAUUUGCAAGGGCCUUACUAUUCUCCCAUCUCGUUCUGCUCUUCUCAACCCAUCAUGUGUUUGUGUUUUUUGAAUAAUUACUACUUGAUUUUUUUAGCAAUAUUUAAGCUGAUUAUUAGUUUAGAAUAAAGAGAGUAUUUAUAAUUAUACUUUUUUCUUUGAUCAUCUCAUAUGUGAAAUAGGUGAGAAAAAGAAAAAGAAAUAACAAGUAGACGAAUACGACGUUAAAAGAAGGAACUAACUGGAACUCCUACAGUUCAAAUUAAACUGCACAAGAUGCAGCCUCCAUCUAAUGGUGAUUAAUUUUCGAAUUUCGAAAGUAGAUUUUAUGCUUCAUUUCAAUACAAAAUAAAAAUAUUUCUGAUGUAUUAAAAACUACAAAAUAAAAUAUUUUGAUGGGAUGAGAUUUGUGUAGUUAAAAACUUUAAUUGUAGGAGAGCAAGACCAUAAAACAGUUCAUACAAUCAUGCCAAGAAAAAAAAUCAUAAAACAGUCGUACGUGGUCAGUGUUCAUGCAAGAAAAAAAAGAUCAUAAAACAAAUAGAAAAAAAAGAUCAUAUAUAUAUAUAUAUAUAAAGAAUGAAAAAAAUGAAGAUAUACCUUGAUGAUUUUGGUGCCAGACAUGUCAUGUCAGCUCAGACAGUCGUACGUGUUCACGCAAGAAACCUUGUUCUCUUGGAAGAAUAACGAUAAAUAGACAUAGCGGGAGACGUAAAAAAAAAAUAAAAAAAGCAACUGAAUUUCCAAUCCUGAGACCGCAAGGAAAUAUAACUCAAAACCUUAUUCUUCAGUGUCGCUUUUACCAAAACGCCAAAAUCGCCCUGUAGACUGUACACUGAGACUGGUUUUAAAGCAACGCCACUUGUUCCAGCCAUGCCUCCUCAAGAGACCCAACAACCUCUGUUAUCGGAGGAGCAAGAAGAGACAGCCUACGAUUCCUCGGAGAAGGUUGUGGUGGUCGGAAUCGACGAGCACGACGGCGACUUGGAGGCGCCGCCGUUCUCAUGGCGGAAGCUGUGGCUCUUCACCGGGCCCGGGUUUCUGAUGAGCAUCGCUUUUCUGGAUCCCGGGAACCUCGAGGGGGAUCUUCAGUCCGGUGCCAUUGCUGGGUACUCGCUCCUGUGGCUCCUCAUGUGGGCCACGGCUAUGGGCCUUCUUAUCCAGCUUCUAUCGGCUCGGCUCGGCGUGGCUACGGGGAGACACUUAGCCGAACUCUGCAGGGAAGAGUAUCCCACAUGGGCUAGGAUUGUUCUGUGGUUGAUGACUGAGGUUGCUCUUAUUGGCGCUGACAUACAAGAGGUUAUUGGGAGCGCUAUUGCUAUCAGGAUUCUCAGUAACGGCGUCGUUCCGCUCUGGGCCGGGGUCGUCAUUACAGCUUUUGAUUGGUGAAAUUUUCAUUCUUUUUCUUAAACUAUGUAUGGUAGUAUUUCAAAUUAAGCAAGUAAUUGACUUCUUUCUCUUUGAUUGAUUUUUUUAGUUUUAUUUUUCUCUUUCUUGAGAACUAUGGUGUGAGGAAACUGGAAGCGUUUUUCGGUGUUCUUAUUGGUGUAAUGGCUCUCUCAUUUGCUUGGAUGUUUGGUGAAGCUAAGCCCAAUGGUGUUGAUGUUCUUGUUGGUAAGUUUCUUUUCGGUUUAACUGUUCACUUCGACCCUAUAUACUCGUUCUCGUUUAAAGUUUUAGUCUCUGUAUAAGAAGAUUGUACGUUUUAGUUUCUACAGUUUUUUUGUAACUGUUUAUAACCGUAGAAAGUUUUUGUAGCGGCUUUACACCGCCAGGAAUUCUUUUUUUAUGCAUACUUAGGGACAAAACUUACAAUUUCCUCGUAUAGGGACUACAACAAAAAAUGAAGAUAAUUACAUGGACCAGAUGAAUAAUUUAACGUGCUUCAUUUCUGAUAUAUUCUUCAAUCUUAUCUAUGUAGGUAUUUUGGUUCCUAAACUUAGCUCCAGAACUAUACAACAAGCUGUUGGAGUUGUGGGUUGCGUUAUUAUGCCUCACAAUGUUUACUUGCAUUCUGCGCUUGUUCAAUCAAGAAGGGUUGACCCCAGCAAGAAAGGCCGUGUUCAGGAAGCUCUUAAUUACUACUCCAUAGAGUCCACCAUCGCCCUUAUAGUGUCCUUUGUCAUUAAUAUAUUUGUCACAACUGUGUUUGCUAAGGGCUUUUAUGGUACUGAAAUAGCAAAUAGCAUUGGUCUUGUAAAUGCAGGGCAGUACCUUCAGGAGAAGUAUGGGGGUGGACUAUUCCCAAUCCUGUAUAUAUGGGGUAUUGGGUUGUUAGCAGCCGGCCAGAGUAGCACAAUUACUGGUACAUAUGCUGGACAGUUUAUCAUGGGGGGUUUUCUGAAUUUAAGGUUGAAAAAGUGGAUGAGGGCAUUGAUAACACGAAGUUUUGCCAUCAUCCCAACCAUGAUAGUUGCUCUUAUAUUUGAUACCUCAGAGGAAUCAUUAGAUGUUCUGAAUGAAUGGCUUAAUGUUCUCCAGUCAGUUCAAAUCCCCUUUGCACUUGUUCCCUUGCUUUGCUUGGUGUCCAAAGAACAGAUAAUGGGCAGUUUCAGAAUUGGCCCUGUCCUCAAGGUAUAUUAUCCCCUUAUCUGAAUUUUGGCCACACUGGCCACUUUAACAGUUGCCCGUUAUCAGUUUUAUUUAUUUGAUAGAAGACUAUGAUUCAUUGGAUAUAAAAUUGCCAUCUCUAUCUUCCUUUAUGGGCUAUCAAUUAAUAAAACCUAGGGAUAGUGGAGAGAUAAUUCAGAAAUGUUCGAAUGCAGACCUUUCUUGUCUUGCUAUUUAAGCAGGAGAUAAUUCAGAAUUGACCUAAGGUAUGCGGUAUACCUGAUUUCUCUUACAAUGCAGAAUUAGAUUUUAAGAUGCCAAAUGGGUGGCUUGAUUUUACUGUCCUGUCUUGAGAAAUAAAAGGUGAGAUAGUGGAGUGUCCAUGAUCUAGUUUAACCAAUUUUCCCCCUUAUGAAGCUGUUCUUCUAAACAACUUUUCCAAAGUUAUUUUUAGUAAUUAAAUUAAAGCUAUAGUUUCUUCUAUCCUUUUUGUUGUAUAUUAUUAUUCAUCGUGAGAUUAUAUUUUCAUUGGUUUUUCAAUGUGUGACAAUGGACCCAUGCUAACAAGACAAAAAAUAGAAAGUUUUUAUAAAACAAGAAAAUGUGUACUAUAUGGAAAUACACAAGUAGUUUAAAUACUGUCUAUUUAAAGUUAUUAGAAGUAUUUAAUAGUGUCUAUUUAGCGCUUCUUAACAUAUGCCCGUUGCCUUAAAACUGUAUUUUCAAUAACCCAUAAUAUGCAGCUUAUCUUGCUGCAUUUGGAAACUGCAUGUGAUUCAGCUGUCUUGAAACAUCCCAAAAAUGACUUAUAUUUAUAUAUGUGAUAAAUAUCCCAAAAAUGACUUAUAUGCUUUCUGAAGUUGGUAGUUUCAAGAAUUCCUUUCUUGUCCCCCCUUCUUGUUUCUUUUCUUUUGCUUUUUAUGUUUCUUUGGGUGCAUCGGUGCUGCUUGUUGUUUUCUAUAUUGAAGAUGCUAAGACAGUGUUGUUUAUUUGAUGCUUUGACUUUUUGGUGAGUGUUCUUAAACUGUAGCUUCUGUCGACUUUGGAUGUAUUUAGACCAACACCCCUUUGCCGAAUCUUCUGCUUUAUUUGUUUGGAUUAAUUGUAUAAUAGUCAUGAUUCUCUUAUGAUGAUAUGGAUACAGAUUAUUUCCUGGCUUGUGGCUGCUCUGGUGAUAGUGAUAAAUGGCUAUCUAUUGCUGGAAUUCUUCUCUUCUGAAGUGAAUGGGGCAGUGUUUGCCACUGUAGUGUGUGUAUUAACAGCUGCGUAUGUUGCAUUUGUACUUUACCUUAUUUCACGGGCCAUUACCUAUACACCGUGGCAAAGGUUAACCCGAUCAAAGACAGUUGCUACCACAGUGAAUUGAGCAGUCAAAUUCCAAUUCCUUAAAACCAUGGAGUAGGAAAUGCUUAGCCGCUGAAGGCUUUCACAAGUACAUUUCCUCGAUUUUUUUAGGUUUACUCAUGCUUGUUAAUUUGAUGCAGAGGGCAGUGGUACCUUCUUGGUUGUCAUACUUAAACAAAACGAGUUGAUUUAUCUGUUUUUCUGUCAAAAUUCGAUGUAUAAUGCAGCUAUUAGCAUGCGUUGGAUAUUGAGAUAAUGUAGUUGAGAUACCUUUUAAAACUAUGAUGUUACAGAUAGUUCCCUUUAUUGUUCUCUCUGGCCCCCCCUAUCCACUCUAUUUGGGAUUUCUUUUAAGUUGUGGGUGGAAUAUAUGCUACUUUGCGUCCAAACCAAAUUUUGGCAUAGAAGAUUGUGGAAGUGUAGUGGGAAUGUGACGAUGCAUCUACCCCCAAUAUGAUGCCAUUUCCACCCUUCAUUCCAUGUCAAUUACAGCAAUAACAUUUCUUUCAAAAUAUAGGCAAGAAAAAAGACAUCCAAAGGAAGCUUCCUUAUGAUUUAUAUGGCCUCAACGUACUUGAACCGAUAUAUAACAAACUGAUAUUUUUCACCUUGACAUGCAUUCUCAUUCACAGAGUAGUAUUGACAAUAUAAGUAAGUAUCAAAAUUAAAGUUUUAAAAAAAUCCAUAAUUACAGUACCAAAAAAGCCUACAUCUCAGAAAAAAUAAUUGAAGUGUUUAAUCCAUUAAUGAUUUCCAUCUCUCAAUCCAUUGAAAAUGGAGAAAUCAAGUCAUUCAUCCCUCAAAUAAGCUUUCUAGCCCCUUCUUCCUCAAACCAAUCUGCACAUAUAAAUGAGACUCUUCCGGAUAUUACAAUGAUUUUUAUCUCCUGGCAGUAAAAAAAAAUCUCCUUGAAAGUAAAGUUUAAAUUUAGCCUCGUUGAUAUGUAUAUAAAAAAAACAAAUUCAACCCCAUUGAUAUACGAAGCUUCCAUAGUAAUCCUAUAAAAUGUUUUAUGUAGUUAAUUACAAAAAUAAUUUUAAAGUAUUUUAAGCAGAAUAAAAAAUAACAGAAAAUAUUAUAUUUAAAAUAUAAUAAAUAUUUAAUAUUUUUUAAAAAUAAAAAUAUAUUAAAUAUUGUUUUAAUAAAAUCAAGACUCUAAUGAAAAAUGAUAAACCCAAUUUAAUAAAUGAAAAGCAUAAGUCAUUUUUUUACCUGCAGUGAAUGCUGUAAGAGAAUCUCUGUUACAUUUCAGUAUUAUUAUUAUUUUUUUACAUAAUUUAGAUUUAAAUAUUUUUCUAAAAAUGAGUCUUGCUAAUUGUAUUUUAAAGAAUUAAGUAAGAAGCAUUUAAUAUACUUUCUCAAAUAUUUUCAAUUAUUUAAAAUAAUAUAUUCGGACGAACGUUUCUCUUCUUUUUUUCCCAAAGUUUUUUUUUUUGCUUUUUUUUAACUUUUUAUUUCAUUUUGUUUUUUUUUUAAUUUUAUUACAUUUAAUUAUGAGUUUAAUGUCUAUGUAGGGAUAAUGUAAAUUUAAUAAUAAAUCAUCAUUUGAAUUAUUUUAACAUAAUUAUUUUAAAAGUUAAUAAGUUUAUUAUAGAAAAUGUGGUGUAAUUGAAUAGUUGAUGAAUAACUUUUUUUUGUUAUAAAAAUUAUUAAAAAAAAUUAUGAUUGGGCAAUUGAUAGUAAGUUAGGUAACAAGAGAGAUUAAAUAAAGGAUAAAUACUUAUUUUUGUGAGCAUUAACAAAUUUAUUUUUGAAAGGUGAAAAUUUAAAUUUUAGUUCUCGAAAGAAAGAAAAAAAUGUGACAGAUAUAUCUAUCUGUUUAACCUAUGUAUGUUACUCUUAAUGAAAUCAUCUACGUGAUACAUUAUUUCAAAGUAAUAAACAACCUAUUAAUCAAUAUUAUGUUUAUUAUUAUGUUUGUUUUUCUAUUUUUUAAAAUGUUUAUUAUAAUGUUAUACUUAGACAUGACAAGAAAAUCCAUAUCCGGGUAAUACCCGAGUUGACCGGGUAUGGAUUCAGGUUCGGGUUUUUCCGAUAACAAAAAGUCGGAUACGAGUGCGGGUAUGGAUUACUAGACUCGUCCCAACCUUGAACCCGAACCCACCCGUCACUUAAAAUCUUUAGAAUUUUUUUAUAAUUUAAUCAAAAGACAUAGAAUUUUUAUUAUUAGUUAAUUUUAUUUUAGAAUUUUUACAUAAGUUAAUAUUAUUUUCUUAACUAUUUUUGUAGACAUACGCGCUAUAAUAAAUUUAUUGAUAUAUAAGUAGUUAAAAAUAAAUGUUUAACAAUCAAUUUAUUUUUCUAAAAUCAAAUUUUUAAUAUUUUUUUUACAAAAAAAAUAUUUUUCUAAUUUGAAUUGUGUAUGGGAAGAGGUUGGGGAUACGCGAUAACUCUGACAAGUACGGGAAUGAAACAAUAAACUUAAACCAGUCCUAAAUAUAGUAUGAGGAUAAGCUGGGGAGUCAGGGCAAGGGAUUUACCCAUUCCGUCCCAUUAUCAUGUCUAGUUAUACUUGUCAAAUAAAAAAAAGAUAAAGAUCAAAUAAAAAGAUAAAGAUUAAAUUAUAUGUUGGAUAAAUAAUUUUUUAUAAAUAAAAUAGUAACAAAUUCAUCCUUGAAUAUGGAAGGUAGGCUCUUUCAAUAACCACCAUGAUACAAUUUAAUGGAUGAAUAGAGUUGUAUAUGUUUUUUCACAUUGAAGACUAAAAUUUAAAUGAUUUGUGGGAAAUAAAUUUGUCAAUGUACUACAAAAAUAAUUACUUAUCCUUAAAUAAACAAAAAAAUAAAGCAAAAAUGGAAAUUGUUAGUUUCCGUCACAACACAGCACAGGCUAGUGAGACUCGUUUUUUCUCCAUCGGUUCUUCAGUUUUCACUUCCUGUCUCGUUUCGAUCCGUGCCACCGCUCGGACCAGUUAGACUCAUGGCGUCGCUAUGGACUCAACUAAUCUCCAUGGCCUCCCUACUUCUAUCCCUUGCGCGGUGGGUACCUGUCUCCGGUGACUCCAGCAACGUGUUACUCUUACCAAGUCCUCAUCACGAGGGCUCUCGCCCUGCCAUGAUUCUCCCCCUACAUCACUCCGUUCCCGAUUCUUCCUUCUCUCACUUUAAUCCACGUCGUCAACUCAAGGAAUCCGACUCAGAACACCAUCCCAACGCUCGCAUGAGACUGUACGAUGAUCUCCUUCGAAACGGGUUAGUCUCUUUCACUCCCUCGCUUCCUCUUUUUUUUUUUUCCAAAAUAGUUUUCGCUUUUUUUGUUGUUGUUAAUUAUGUGUGUGUGUUUUGGGAAAUUGGAUGGAGUAGCUACUAUACGGCGCGGCUUUGGAUCGGCACUCCUCCGCAGAGGUUUGCUCUUAUUGUUGAUACGGGGAGUACUGUUACCUAUGUUCCGUGCUCUACUUGUAGACACUGUGGUAGCCACCAGGUGAUGCUUCCAGCUACUACCCCUACACGUUUGGAUCAAUAAAUUAAUGUUUAUUUUGAUUGAUUAUUAAUUUUGUGUAAAGAAGCUGCUAUUUGAUUGUGGAUAUGACUCGUGAUUAUAAAAAUUAUUGAGAUGCCAACUCAACUAGAGAUAUGACUAAUAUGGUCCUUAUAAGGAGUAAGGACAACUCUCACCUUACAAGCCGAUUUUGUUGAGAUGAGUUACGCUUAAGCCUAAAUUCUAAGAUGGUAUCAAAAUCUACUAUAGAUUUGCUAUUGGGCCACUCGUAUUUGUCUAAACUCUAGAUGUCUAUUGCUUGGCAUGAAGGGUGUUGUUAUUGGUCCGCAUUUGUCCACACUCUGAAUGUCUAGUCUUGAGUGUGAGUAGCCUAAAGGGGUGUGUUGACUGUUGAGAUCUAACAUCAAUUAGAGGUAUAUACCAAUGUAAUUCUUAUAAGGCUUGAGCUGUUUUGUGGGGUUGAGUAGCUCAAAUUCUAAGAAAAAUACGCGUAUAAGGGGUUAUAUGAUUUUGUUCAUAUAUAUACUCUUGGCAUGCUUUGUAUAUAUGUGAAAAUGGAAAUGGGGAGGAGUGAAAAUUGAUGACAAGUUCAGACACAACAUAAGUCUAAACCCCAGACACACAGUUUCAUUCUUAUUCCUCCAAAUUUCACUUCUACCAACUGCCAAACACUCCUUUAAUGUUGCAUGGUAGACUGCUUAUGCCUCUUGCAUGUUUAGUUUGUUCAGAAUAUCAUUUAUUUCAUCUUCAAAUAGAUGUAAAAAAAAUGAUUUUAUUUGGAAUUUAUUGUGCCUGUGCCUGUGUAUCUCAUCUAAUUUAUCUGAAGUAAAUUUGUGUGCCCAAUUUUAUUUUAACAGGAUCCAAAGUUCCGACCAGAAGAUUCAGAAACCUAUCAACCUGUUAAAUGCACAUGGCAGUGCAACUGUGACAAUGACAGGAAGCAGUGCACGUAUGAGAGACGGUAUGCUGAAAUGAGUACUAGCAGUGGGGCCCUUGGUGAGGAUGUUGUAUCCUUUGGAAAUCAGACUGAGCUUUCCCCCCAACGUGCCAUUUUUGGCUGUGAAAAUGAUGAGACUGGUGAUAUUUAUAAUCAGCGUGCUGAUGGCAUCAUGGGUUUGGGCCGUGGAGAUCUAAGUAUUAUGGACCAACUGGUUGAGAAAAAGGUGAUAAGUGAUUCGUUCUCACUGUGCUAUGGUGGAAUGGGUGUUGGUGGUGGUGCUAUGGUUCUUGGUGGCAUAUCUCCCCCAGCUGACAUGGUCUUUACACGUUCAGAUCCUGUUCGAAGGUGUGUGCCAAAUUUCUUAUUUCAUAGAUAUGAGAUGUCAUGCAUUUUCUUAACAAAUGCAUUUGAUUAAUCUCACACAUUUACUCUAGUUUCGGGAUGGCGACAGUCCAUAUUACAAUAUUGAUUUGAAGGAGAUACAUGUUGCGGGGAAGCGACUGCAUUUAAACCCAAAGGUUUUUGAUGGAAAACAUGGAACUGUCUUGGAUAGUGGCACAACUUAUGCAUACCUACCAGAAUCUGCAUUUCUUGCAUUUAAACAUGCUGUAAGUUCUUUCUCAUAAAUAUUACUGGAGAAAGUUUUUUGAGUUAGAAUUUUUAAUCUCAGAUAUUUUCUAAAAACCUUGACUUUCAUGUGUAAUGAGGUGUGGAAAUAGAAUAAAAUUGUUAAAGGAUAGGUGAUAAAUGGAGUUGGAGGUUUUAAGUUCCUCGAAUUUUUUAUUUUAUUUUUUAAUUUAGUGAAGAUUUAUGCAAUGCACUUAGGCAAAGUUACUUUGAUGCUUUGAUAAGUUAACUUUACUUUUUCAGUACAAUUAUAAAAAUUAUUGGAUGGUUGUUUGUUCAUUACAUCUCAUUAAUGGGAUGCCAAAACAUUGUGCUGUUUAACCUUUCUGAAUAGAUUCCUCUUUUGCUGCUCUGAUAAGUUAACUUUAAUUUUACAGUACAAUUUUAAAAAUCUUUGGUUAUUGGGUAUACUAUGAUAUCUAAAUACUUGAAGUUUAGCAUGCUUCUUUUGCAAAGUCUCAUUGAGUUUUCCAAUCAAUAUGUGAUACAAUAUUAGCAGUCAUUGUUAACCAUUAAUUUCGGAACAACACUUAAGUGAUAAUGCUUUAAGAUUAUCACUUACAAUGCUGUAUUUAGAAAAUUCAAUUGUAUAGUCAAAUGUAUGUGCCAUGUAUCAUGGAUUCAUGGAGAAUCCUUUUUGUUCUCUCAUCAUCAUUUAUGGUUUUGUUUAUUAAUUAUCUUAUUUUUGCAUCAUAAAUCAAAUAUCCUGUUUGCAAUAUAAAAUCAAGUAUUCUGUAUAACAUAUAAAUUUUAUCUUUUAUGACCGAUGACUAUGAUUAUGUAUUUAUCUGAAUGCAGAUUAUGAAGGAAACACAUUCGUUGAAGCGAAUAAGUGGUCCAGAUCCACGUUAUAAUGAUAUAUGUUUUUCUGGUGCAGAAAUGUAAGUCUGGCAUUAUUAAGGAGUGAAUGUACACAUGAUUGCUGCUUAAUUAACAGUUGAGUUUACUUGUAUUUCAGUGAUGUCUCUCAAAUCUCUAAAAGCUUUCCGGUGGUUGAAAUGGUAUUUGGAAAUGGUCACAAGUUGUCACUGUCUCCUGAAAAUUACUUGUUUCGGGUUAGUUAUGUAGUAAAAUCAUUAUUAUCUCUAGUUGUGUUUCUGGGUUGAUCGAUUUUCUUAUCCCUAUUUUUCAUGUGGCUGUCUUUUAUGAAGCAUUCAAAAGUGCGAGGUGCGUAUUGUCUAGGGGUUUUUUCAAAUGGCAAUGAUCCAACUACUCUUUUAGGAGGUAUAGCUUAUUUAGUAUAGGUUAUUUCAUGCCAUUUCGUACUUCCCCUUAUUUGAAGUAUUGUUCCUCUAUGAUUUUUGUUAGAGUUAUGGGUUUGUGCAAUACUUUAGUGAUAAUUCUUUUGUUUGUGUAGGUAUUGUUGUUCGUAACACUCUUGUAAUGUAUGAUCGUGAGCAUACAAAAAUUGGUUUCUGGAAAACUAAUUGUUCUGAGUUAUGGGAAAGACUACAUGUGUCAGAUGCCCCACCACCCUUGUUGCCUCCAAAAUCUGAGGGAACAAAUUUAACCAAAUCAUUUGAGCCCUCUAUUGCUCCAUCUCCAUCACAGUAUAAUUUACAGCUAGGUAUUAUGAGCUGCUGAUAUUCUAUUUUAUUUUAAGGAAUACGCAGAGAUAUCAAGUUCAAACAUGGAUCAGAUGUCACACAUUGAUAAAAUAGUUCGUUGUGUUUUUUAUUUUAUCUUUUUUUUCAGAAAUUAUUGCCAUUUCUUUGUGAUUUAUAUGCUCACUGAUGACUAAUAUGCUUUCAUUGAUUUAAAUGUGCAGGUGAACUCCAAAUUGCUCAAAUAAUAGUUGUUAUUUCGUUUAACAUCAGCUACAUGGAUAUGAAGCCUUACAUCACAGAAUUGACUGGACUCAUUGCUCAUGAAUUAGAUGUUAAUAGUUCACAGGUUAGAAAAUGGUCACUGAAGUGCAGAAAAUCUGGUUGCAUACUUGCAUCUUUAAUUAUAAUCAAUAAUUUUUGUGCAACCUAAGGGUUUAAUUAACAAUAUUCAUGAUAUAACCUUGGCAAUCUCAUUUGGAUGGUGUGGGUUGGAAUUUGGGUAGAGGUCAUAGAUUUUAGACUUUUUGUCAUGUGGCAACUUUCCAAAAUACCUAGAGAACAAUAUGCAUGUUUGGCUAAUUUUUCCCUGUUUGUGUGUAUUUUUACUUUAUGAUAAUAACAUUCUUGGCUGGAAUGCUUACAGGUUCACUUAAUGAAUUUUUCUUCUCUUGGAAAUGGUUCUCUCUCUAAAUGGGUCAUAACACCGAGGCCAUAUGCUGAUUUCUUUUCUAAUGCUACUGCAAUGGUAAGUGAACAUUUGUGCAUUUGCAUUUUUGUGAAGACUUCCCAUUUAAUGGUGAUUUUCAAUGUAACAGAGUAUGAUUGCCCGGCUUUCUGAACAUCGUAUGCAACUUCCUAACUCAGUUGGAAGUUAUAAGUUAGUUGAUUGGAAUGCCGAGCCUCCAUUGAAACGGUAAAUUUUUUCUUGAAAGGAAAAGUCAGAAAAUUUUCUCUCCUACCAUCGUUUACUUGUGUUUGCAUAACUUCCUGUUUUAUUAUUUAUAUUGCAUGCAAUACUGAGGUUCCUAGUUUUACACAUUCAGAUUGGUUGGAAAAUCUAAUGCCCUAAUCUAUUAAAUUUCAUGCUUGAGGUUACUUGUGUUCCUUUCUGCAUCUGAUAUUUUGUAAAAACGCAUGCCUUUUCACACUUAUACAUACCAAUAUUCAUGUAUUUAUAUAAUUGUUAUAUAUAUGUUUGUGUGCAUUUGUAGAGCAUAUUAGGUGAAAAUGAGUGAGAACCAAUCUUGCUAAACAAAAACAAUACAUAGAUAGUUAAGAAUAAAUUUUAAUAAAACUAAUGUUAACUAUCUAUAUAUGAUUGUAUAACUAUUAGAAUCUUGUGAUUCAUACAGAAAGAGAGAAAAGAGAGUGAAAUUUAAGAUGUAAUAAAUGAUUGGUUGGAGAGGAAGACUCAAAAUGAUGUAUAAAUUGUUGUAUGACAUUUCUUUCUGAAAUGAUGCAGGACUUGGUGGCAGCAAUAUUAUUUGGUUGUGGCUUUAGCUGUUUUGCUUACAUUCGUUCUAGGAAUAUCAACCUUAGGAAUAUUCUUAAUUUGGAAAAAAAGACAGCAAGCUGAGCACUCAUACAAGCCAGUUGAUGUAGCUGUUCAAGAGCAGGAACUUCAGCCAUUAUGAGCUUCGUUUGUACUACCACUGCUUAAUGGUUUGCCUGAUUAGCGUGGCUGGCAUAUUCGAGUCCAUUAAUGCGUGAGCAAUAUACACAAUCAUAUAGUCAUACAACGGAUCAAGAUUUUGGUUUCUAAGAAAUCGAGUUGUCUAUCAUGAUAUAAUGAAACCCCCAUAGAUGUAUAUAAAGAAUUCUUUAGAAGUUGUAUCAUCUGCAAACGCAAUUUUGUUUGUGAUCAUUGUAAUAUAUAGCGGUGAAUCACGANNNNNNNNNNNNNNNNNNNNNNNNNNNNNNNNNNNNNNNNNNNNNNNNNNNNNNNNNNNNNNNNNNNNNNNNNNNNNNNNNNNNNNNNNNNNNNNNNNNNCUUUUUGUUUAGUUAUUGCCAUUUUGCUUAUUGGUCAUGGGUUCGAAUCCGGAAACAGCCUCUUUGCAUAUGCAAGGGUAAGGCUGCGUACAACAUCCCUCCUCCAUACCUUCGCAUAGCGAAGAGCCUCUGGGCAAUGGGGUACGAAGUUUUUAUUGCAUUUUGCUUGGUUUAUAUCUUACUUUUCUGUUCACGUUUUUCUAAUUUUGGUUCAAUGAAAUUAAUCUUCAUUCUUGUAUCGCAGUCUAUUUACUAAUCAUUAGUAAUUAGUAACAAUAAAAUUAUAUGAUGUGGUUAUGGUUGAAGAUAAUGAUAAUGAUAUGCAACCUCAUAGUAGUUGAGAGAAUAAUCAGAGAAUUAGAUAGUUGUGGGUUGAGAUAAAUAGAGAAACAAUACAUGUUGCCUAUAAAUAAGAAAAGGGAUUGAGAGGGAGAUUUUUAUCUUGUGAUUUGAAAGGAAAUUUAGAUUGUUGUGGAAGAGUCGAGACCCCUCAAAAGUCAUUGAGAAUCAUUUAUACACUAUUUUGUUAAUAUAAGUUUUUCUCUCAAUAAUUCUGGUUGAAUUUCAAUUAAAUAAGUUGAAAUUUAAUGAUUUCUCAGUUUUAAACUUGAGUUUAAUAGUGAAAAAAAAUUAAUAUUUAAUAAUGAGGAGAGAUCAAAUUAAUAUAGGAGUAAUAUUAAUAAAUUUAUUUCACAUCAUUAUUAUUUAUUUAUUUAAAAUUUAAUGAUUAAGAUUAAUUACUCCUUAUAAUCAUUAGAUUUUAAAAAUUGAAUGAUGAUGAUAAAUAAUUUUUUAAAAACUAUUAUUAAAGUAACUUGAUCCCUCAAUAAUAAUAACUUAGACAAUAUUGUGAUGCAAUUUCAUUUGCCUACUUAGAUAUGAGAUCAUUAGUUUAAGGAAACAGAUUUGUGGAAUAUUUUUCAUGUUUUACCACAACGAAGCAGCGCUUGGCCAGUCUUUAUUUUUGGUAGACUUGGACCGCAGCUUGUUCACGACCUCAUUUGUUUUGUGCCAUAAAAUGAUUCUUGAACAUCAUUUACAUACACAAUUUUUAUAUUGGUUAACGAACUAUAAAUUUUUUAUAAGCAAUUUGCAUUAUUUGAUAAAAAAAACCUGUUAACGUACACUAUCAAAUAAAAAUUAUAUACUAUCAACCAACAAUGAGUGUGAAAAUGAUAUUCAAAUUCUGAUUUGCAGAGAUACAUCCACUCUCCUUUUACACGGGUAUUGUCAUCGUCGUACCAAUAAUCCUAUUGGAACCCAAUUAUUCUUUAUCAUCACAUGAUUACCAAGUUAUAUGAACACUUGGGAAUCGUUUUAACUUGCUUGAAUUAUUUCUGUCUGACUAAUAAAUGUAAAGAAUUUACUUUAUUUAAGGCAAGGCCAUUGGGAAAAAAAAACUAUAAGCUCCUUUUUUACCAGUUGCCUUGGUGGCUAAAAAGUAAAUUCGUUGAGUGCGAUUUUGGCAUUGAUCGUUUCGUCCUACCGAAGGAAACUUAGGAAAGGCAAAAAUGUGAGUUCCGAUAGAUUUGCGCUUAAAGAUAGUCUUGUCCUUAACUGAAAAAAGACAUUACCCCACAGCAAAUAAAUUUGUGGCCACUAGCCGCAAAACAAAUUCAUAUGGGUGCAGUGCAGGUAAAGAAAUAACAGAGAAAUUUUCCAUAUUACACGAGAAAUAUACCAUCUGAAUCUGAUAGUGAAAGCCGAGCAUGCUUUUAAUUCUUGUAAGCCAGGCCUAACACGUGCAAGUAAAAUGGUGACCUGCAUUAGCUAUUAAAAGAGACUUAUACUGAUAAUGGCCAUUUUCUGGGGCAGGCAACAAGUAGUACAAAACAAGGCUACGUCAAUUGUCACCUACAUAUAUGAUCCGAGGGGAUCUCCGAAUUUGUGUGGCAAAUCUCUAGAACUUUCAUCUGAAUAUUUGCUUCACUUUUCUCAUUCACAAUUACAAAACAGAGAAGUUAGGACCCUAAGAUUACUGAAUGUGCAAGCUGGCGCCUGUAAGUUGGUUGAACCUUAAUUACAUACCAUGAAAACGACGCAUCGAAGAAAACGAAAACAAAGUGUGGAAUAAAGUUAGACGGGGCUAAUGAAAAAAGACGUACGGCAUUUGAUUUCAACAAAUAGACAUCAGAAAGAUUCAUUAAGUUGUUGUCGAUAUUUUUGGUUGAUCCAAUAAUAUUCAUCUAAAAUAAAUUAGUGCAUAUUUGGGAAUUCGUUCGUUGGACAUGAACGAAAUUUCACCGGAGGAACCCCUUUGUAUCUUUAGAAGCAAACGGAUAUUUGGAGGUGUAAAAGAUUUUCCAAACAUGUAGUUGUUUUGCUUUAGAAUGAUAUUAGGGUUGAGCAACAUUGCCCGAAAUCCACCACAUUCAGUAACCACUUAAUGCCAACUCUAUGCUUGGCCUACUCCUUAAACAUGAUCUUCAAGUCAAUAACCACCUAACAUUUAAUCCUUCAAAUCACGUAACUACUCUUGUUGCAUACAUGUACAUUGCAUAUGAGGGAUGCUUAAUACGAUAUAUAAUUGAUCUACUAAAUCUUAACCAUUCAAAUGUGAUUUAAUUAUUUAUAUUUAUUAUUCUUAUUUAUCAUAAUAAUUAAGAGUUUUCACUUCAUAUUAUCUAUCUACAAUGUUAUAGUUAGAAAUUCUUUUUAUACCUUCAUUUUUUAUAUUUAUUAAAAAAAUAUUUUAAUUGUUAAAUAAUUUAAAUAAUAAUUAUAUAAUAAAGUUAAAAUUAUACAUUUUACUAAAAAUAUUUAAUUUAAAGUUUCUUAUUUUUUGCUUUUUUAUUUGUUUUAGUUAAUAUUUUAUUUAAAAUGUAGUUAAUAAUUUAAUAUUAAUCCAAAAUUAUUGUUACCUUAUUAUUCAUAUAAAUUAAAAUAGAUACAAUACAAAUAUUUCAAAAUAUACUAAAAUAUAAAUCAUUUGAUUAUAUUUUUCUUGUUCAAUUUUGACAAAAUUUGACUCAAUAAUAUAUACAUAUAAUUCAACAAUUAAAUUAAUAAAAAAUCACAUUUUAUACUAAAUUAUAAAAAUCAUGUAAUAAUCAAAAUUAUAACAUAUAGUUUGUUGUUUCUUCGUAUUAAAUAUAUAUAUAAAAGUAAAUUACAAAUGACCUUUUAAAAUAAAUGUGACAUUCAUAUAAUAAAAGAAUCAUGUCACUACCAAUCAAUUUUUAAUCUUAGCCGAGGCCGUUAAACCUAGAAACAAGAAUAGAAUGUUUACCACAAACUCAAGUAGAAUAAAAAAAAUAAAAAUAGAAAGGCAUCCUUGUGUCGGUGCCUACCCUCUUCAAGCAAUCCCAAGGUAAAGCACAACAUGCACGAACACGAAGCAAGGGAGCAAGGAGUACUAAAAUAAUAAUAGUGUCAACAAACAUCAUCAAUUAUAAAGUAAUAAGAGAUUGAAGAAAACAAUGGUAAUAAAUUUAAUUUUAGCCCCCCGACAGGGUCCAAAAAAGACAAUAAAUGAUACAAUAAUACUAUGUAACAGCAGCAAUGAAGCCUCAGCCUCUUCUCUAGAAGAACAAAACAAGGGUAGCCCAGCUCAAGGCUAAGCAUCCAAUGACCUUCUUCAAGCACCUGAUGGUUUCAGCUCCACUCUGUAAAACAGAAACCGUAGAAAUUUAAGAUCCCAACAUUAUUCACUCCUUUAACAUUUUACAUACUAUACUAUGGUGUAAUUAACUUGCUUUGUGACACAGACAUAAUUGACAUCACGACCAAUGCAUGAUACAUUCCGACAGCAACUGAACCCUUUGAUUUUAUUAACAUUUCAUGACUUUUGCUAAUAUCUUGUUGGAUUCUAAAAGAAGGAUUUAUAAUUUGCUCUUCUUCUUUUUUCUUUUUUUUUUCCUUCGAUAAAAGGGACUAAACUAACGAAAUGACCAAAUCUACCUUAACUAAUUCCAUGAUGUUGAAGACAACUAAAAAACCUCAACUGAAGUUAAAGUCAAGUAAGCAUAUCAAUGUCUCAUGUCAAUCCUCAGAUCUGAGAGUACAUUUGUAAAUUGCAGAUCUGACCCAAAUUGCACAAACAGUAAAAGUUAAAAGUAAUAUACUAACCCAACUCAAGUGAGUGAGAGGCACGACCCCUCAAGACUAAGACUGGACAUCUCAAACAUAAAAUUUGCAAUAACUCAACUAUAGACUCUGUUAUUAAUUAUCUUAAAAUUUGAAUUUUAGUUCAACUGAAUCCAAACAUCAGUUCAUACAAUAAGAAUUAUCUGCUACUUAUAUACACCGUUUAGUUUUGAUGAUCUUAGUAGUGAAUGUGAGAUCUUUAAAAGAACACAAGGCGUACCUCGUCCUCAGAUACAGCUGGACCAGGAGACAUGGAAUCCUGGCUUGAUCCCGGAGCUCCUACCGGAGGAGCGGGAGGGCCAAGCAAUGACGGCGACGGUGCUGGUGCAGUGUGCUUCUUACUCUUCUUUGUCUUCUUCUUUGACUUGGGAGCGGGUGCCGGAACCUCAGCGCUGGGUGCUACCACGGGUGCGGGAGUUGUCGGUGCGAGUGCAGGUGGAGAGCUCACCGGAACAGGAGCAGGUGGAGAACUCACCGGAACUGGCGCUGGCGGCGAACUCACUGGAGUCACGGCAGGAGGUGUGGCUGCCGGUGGUGUAGCCGCAGGAGGAGUGGCUGCGGGAGGUGUAGCCACCGGAGCUGGAGCGGCAGCUUUAGACGGAGGAGAUGCUACUGUGGGAGAUGAAGCGGGUGGGGUUGCGGUUGCAGCAUUGGGGGACGAAGCUGGUGGAGAUGAUGACGUGGGAGAAG
This 39109-nucleotide long non-coding RNA is filed under the name Glycine max (soybean). RNAcentral describes it as "long non-coding RNA (GMAX_LNC000214)". Lineage: Eukaryota; Viridiplantae; Streptophyta; Magnoliopsida; Fabales; Fabaceae. The record is from RNAcentral.